GGUCCGGUGGCGAAAUGGUAUCGUGUGGUCCUCCUAAGACUGAGGUUGUGGGUUCGAGUCCCAUCCGGAUCG
Molecule: transfer RNA, 72 nt
Filed under: Neurospora crassa
Lineage: Eukaryota; Fungi; Ascomycota; Sordariomycetes; Sordariales; Sordariaceae
Also listed under: 8 other names
Description: tRNA-Arg (CCT) (tRNA-Arg-CCT-1 1 to 3)
Rfam family: tRNA
About the family: Transfer RNA (tRNA) molecules are approximately 80 nucleotides in length. Their secondary structure includes four short double-helical elements and three loops (D, anti-codon, and T loops).
Source: RNAcentral